Tribolium castaneum (red flour beetle) is the source of this 87-nucleotide microRNA precursor. It matches the Rfam family "mir-7 microRNA precursor family". From Rfam's summary of the family: This family represents the microRNA (miRNA) precursor mir-7. In this case the mature sequence comes from the 5' arm of the precursor. The record is from Rfam. Lineage: Eukaryota; Metazoa; Arthropoda; Insecta; Coleoptera; Tenebrionidae.
UGAAUGGUGUUGUGUGGAAGACUAGUGAUUUUGUUGUUCUAAUUUUUACGUAACAAGGAAUCACUAAUCAUCCCACAAAGCCGUUCG